RNAcentral lists this ribosomal RNA (752 nucleotides) under uncultured bacterium. RNAcentral describes it as "bacterial SSU rRNA". It matches the Rfam family "Bacterial small subunit ribosomal RNA", at positions 9 to 781 of the family's 1533-position model. The record is from RNAcentral.
GAGUUUGAUCCUGGCUCAGGACGAACGCUGGCGGCGUGCUUACACAUGCAAGUUGAACGGGCAUACAUGGAAGCUUGCUGAAGUGUAUGUUAGUAGCGGACGGGUGAGUAAUGCAUGAGGACCUGCCUGCCGGAGGGGGACAACAGUUGGAAACGGCUGCUAAUACCCCGUAUGCCGAGAGGUGAAAGGAAUGGAGACAUUCCGCCGGGAGAGGGACUCAUGUCCUAUCAGCUGGUUGGUGAGGUAACGGCUCACCAAGGCGACGACGGGUAGCCGGCCUGAGAGGGCGACCGGCCACACUGGAACUGAGAGACGGUCCAGACUCCUACGGGAGGCAGCAGUGGGGAAUAUUGGGCAAUGGGGGCAACCCUGACCCAGCGACGCCGCGUGAGGGAAGAAGGCCUUCGGGUCGUAAACUUCUUUUGUACGUGAAGAAGCAGAUGACGGUAGCGUACGAAUAAGUCCCGGCUAACUACGUGCCAGCAGCCGCGGUAAUACGUAGGGGACGAGCGUUGUCCGGAAUUACUGGGCGUAAAGGGCGCGCAGGCUGCGCGUCGAGUCGGCUGUUAAAGAUCCGGGCUUAACCCGGUGAAGCGGUCGAGACCGACGAGCUGGAGUGCUGCAGAGGCAAGUGGAAUUCCCGGUGUAGCGGUGAAAUGCGUAGAUAUCGGGAAGAACACCGGUGGCGAAGGCGACUUGCUGGGCAGCAACUGACGCUGAGGCGCGAAAGCCAGGGGAGCAAACGGGAUUAG